GCUGAGUGGGGAGGAGAGAGGGACAGAGAGCCUGCUUCUUUAAAGGAGCAAAGCGGGAGAGGAGAGGAGCCGCUUACACGAGUGUAAGCGGCUCCUUUCCGGUUGGUUCCUUUAAAGCAAGCAGGCUCUCUGUCCCUCUCUCCUCCCCACUCAGC
RNAcentral lists this microRNA precursor (155 nucleotides) under Podarcis lilfordi (Lilford's wall lizard). Lineage: Eukaryota; Metazoa; Chordata; Lepidosauria; Squamata; Lacertidae. The record is from RNAcentral.